Molecule: ribosomal RNA, 301 nt
Filed under: uncultured bacterium
Lineage: Bacteria
Description: partial 16S ribosomal RNA
Rfam family: Bacterial small subunit ribosomal RNA
Source: RNAcentral
CAGUAGCCGCGGGAAUACGAAGGGGGCUAGCGUUGUUCGGAAUUACUGGGCGUAAAGCGCACGUAGGCGGACAUUUAAGUCAGGGGUGAAAUCCCGGGGCUCAACCCCGGAACUGCCUUUGAUACUGGGUGUCUAGAGUAUGGAAGAGGUGAGUGGAAUUCCGAGUGUAGAGGUGAAAUUCGUAGAUAUUCGGAGGAACACCAGUGGCGAAGGCGGCUCACUGGUCCAUUACUGACGCUGAGGUGCGAAAGCGUGGGGAGCAAACAGGAUUAGAUACCCCUGUAGUCCCUGUCUCUUAUAC